UAGAUCAGAGGGAAGUAUCUAGAUGGAUAUUCUCACACCAGGCAGGAGUGAGUUUCCACUGGAGGCUCUCCCUUGUUGGCAGCAGAGCACAACUCUGGCUGAUUGAAGCAGAAAAGGAAUUUGUUAAAGGGCCAUUGUGUAGUUCAUGGAUGGAGGCAUGUGGGGUGAGACCAGACUCACCGGCCACCUGGGCAGGAAGAAGACCAGGGCCAAGGGCUGUCAGGACUGGCCCAGAACAACUCCACACCCACGUGGCUGCACCUAUGCGCACGACAGGACCAUGCAUGCCUCCUGCCCCUGAGAUCCGCCCACUGCUGCUUCUGGAAGAGGUGUGGCAUGACGUACACAGGAAGGACAGAGCCACCAGCUUUCCCGGGGCCAGCAGGCUGCUUGGCUUGUGUUUGCUCGGUCGACUGUCUGGAGCUGGAUCUGGAUACUUCUCAAAGGGGAGGAAGGACUGCAGAUGCUGGGUGGCACAGGAGCAGAUGUCACCCCAGAGGGCAUUUCCGAUCUUGGAAGGACCUGUGUCACUGGGGACUCCUCAGACAGCAGCAGAACCCUGUCCCACCAUCUACACUGUCCCGUCUACCCUGUUGUCCCUCUGCCUGCAUCGAAGAAGUGGUUCAGCGGGGAUCUGGACAGUCAGCCCUUUGGACAUCUUCCUUGUAGAAAUUCUGCAUCUCCACUACACAUACCACACACAUCUCUACCCUCCCUCCAUGUAUCAGUGUGUACAUGUAUUUAUACAAACAUGUAGGUGACCCCGGUCCCAAGCCCCACAACUGGAGUUGCCACCUGUAGCCGGCUUGACAAUGAUGAUGAUAACAGGGGACGGAUGGACACAUGGAACGGAUGUAGCUCUAGCAGACAGAGGAGCCCAGAACCUCCGGCUCACCUCGCUUUUAUUCACCCAAACAUGGGCACAAGUAAUCAAGGUAACACACGAUUCAUCUGGUUUCCAAUAUCAUUAGUAUAUUCUCUGGUAAACAGCUUAACCUCUGCUGUCUUAACUUUUUCCCUAAUAUGCAAUCACCCCUGACUGCAGCCUUUCCCCUUUGUGCUCACAUUGGAGGUGAAUUAGGCCUCAAAUCUCCUCUGGUCUCCCUCUCUCCCUCUCUCUCUCUCUCUCUCUCUCUCCCCCCCCUCCCUCCCUCCCUCUCUCCCUCUCCC
This 1170-nucleotide long non-coding RNA is filed under the name Heterocephalus glaber (naked mole-rat). RNAcentral describes it as "lncRNA (ENSHGLG00100047249.1)". Lineage: Eukaryota; Metazoa; Chordata; Mammalia; Rodentia; Bathyergidae. The record is from RNAcentral.